CAGCUCGGUGCACUAAGUCCCGCUAUGCGCGGGCCCAGGGAAGAGCACCACAAGCAUCUAUCAUAUGCGAGCUUACCCUACAUUUCUGUAAGAGGCUGUUUUCACGGCUCGAACUCAUGAUCCUCUGGUCACAUGACAACAACUUUACCAGUAACGCCAAGGCUUCCCUUCACUGUACAUAUAUACUCAUCUUCAAUUUAUGCCAGACUCCUCAACCGUUUUCCCCCUGUUUUGUCAAAGACAAUAACAUAAGGGUUGCCAAGAUCUUGGAAGAAGUGCCCGACUAUUACUUAAAAAAGAGAAAAAUUUAGAAUUUCUAAAAUUUUUUAGACAAGUACAAAUUUUCAAGAUGAAUUUAUGAUACUACAUAUCAGUAAGCAAUAUUCAAAUUGUAUUGUUUAAUAGCAAGGAAUUAUGGGUUAGUAACUUGAUAAUGUCAGUGAGGACAAAACUUCAACACUUUGCCGUUUCAGAUCCAUGGCCGCAUAUGAACAACUUUGUGAGUGAUUUCCUUUGGGGUAGAAGACGAGACAAUCAGAAGAGCGAGAAAGAGAAAAUUUU
Molecule: long non-coding RNA, 561 nt
Filed under: Nicotiana tabacum (common tobacco)
Lineage: Eukaryota; Viridiplantae; Streptophyta; Magnoliopsida; Solanales; Solanaceae
Description: long non-coding RNA (NTAB_LNC005571)
Source: RNAcentral